This is a long non-coding RNA of Chinchilla lanigera (long-tailed chinchilla), 2134 nucleotides long. The record is from Ensembl. NCBI's taxonomy places the organism in Eukaryota, Metazoa, Chordata, Mammalia, Rodentia, Chinchillidae.
GCCAGCUGUCUUAAAAAGCAAAGGCGGAAGGGGUCUGUGUUGGCUGUCACCUGCCCCCACGGGCCACAGUUGCAGUGCUUUCCAGGCCCUCUGCAUCUCUUCCAAAGCAAGUCCGCACGUGUCUAGAAAUGCUCCGCUCCACGGGAAUGGGGUGAGCGUGACCGUGGCCGCUGGUCAUCAGGAAAGGGCCUGGAACCACAAGACUCAGGGGUACUGGAAAGCACCUUCGGUGGAGCCCUUGAGUACUCCCAGAAGAGCCGUCUGUACAGCUGUAAAACCCUCAGCCUCAGGGAAACGCCUACCCCACAAGAGAAGGUCCCAGCCCCACCCAGGCAGCUGGGGAGGCUCCACCUGUCUCCCCUGUCUUUGCAGAGCCCAAGGGAGUCUAUCUGUGCUGCCUCAGUGGGAAAGGCUUCUCACGCUUGACACACAAACUUACAACGCAGACCACACUUCGACUCUUACAGGGGAUUUGUGAGCCCACAGAGGGGCCUCAGCCCGCUCCCCUCCAGAAUCCAGAGCAAUGUGCACAAUGGGGUGUGGCUGCCGGAAGGCAUCUGGAGCCCCGAGAAUCCCAGCCCGGCAUCUGUGACCACUGCUCCUCAUCAGACUAAGAAGACUCCUUCUUCAAAACCACAAAUUCUGAAAGCAUUUUCUGUUUGCUUUGCUAGAAAUGAUCCAACGGUCUAGAAAUGGCUCAAAGGACUAUCAGAUAGCUGUAGAACCCAUUUCCUACCAAAUCAAGUCAAGUAUUUAGUCAAUAUAAAUACUAACUAAUGAACCACAUGGAAUCCUAAAUGUCAUGAAGCUCUUCAUCAAGCUUGGCCCGGUUCAAGGGCAGAGACCUUAAGAAUUGCAGUGAACAUAUGUAUAUUUGGUUAGGAAAAUAACUUCCCAGGAAUAAACUAGCCUCUUGGCCUGGGUCCUGGGAAAGCCGUGAAGCACUAUGCUAAGCGCGUGCGGCAUUUUAUUUAUGAGGGCGAUUUUGUCUAUAGUUUUCCUCUUAUGUUUCUGUCUGGCUUUGGCAUUAAGUAGCUCUAGCUUCAUAAAAUGAGCUGGAAAAUGCUUCCUCUCCCAUUUUCUGGAAGAUCUGCCGAAAUGGUGGCUUUAUUUAUUCUGUAAGUGUUUAGUAGAAAUGAAUUGUAAAUCUAUCUAGAUCUGAGAUUUUCUUUUGGGGACGAUUUUUAAGAAUUGACUCAAUUUCCUUACUUAUUGUAACUCUGUUCAGGUUUAUUUUCUUUUUGUCAGUUUCCUGUAUGCCAGCAGGACUCUGGGGCUGCGUCUUGGUAUAGGGGUUAUGGGGCAGCUUCUUGGUCACUGUCUUGGGUGGACAGAUGCAGAGUGGACACUCUGCUUCCCAGGUCCCUCCCAGCAGAGGGAGAGGUCCGCAUGGUGACCUGCUCUUCAUGAAGUCCGGAAUAGCUGCCCCUUCCAUCCCAGAUGCCUAACUCCCCACAACAAAUCUCUUCCCAGCAAAGCAGCUCAUGUGUCCUCAAGGUCAAACUGAUGGGUAACAGUCAGUGAGCGCCCACUGCCACGUACCCCUGACACUCCGUAUCCGCAUCUCACACCACGCAUGACUUGUCCCAUCACAGGCCCAGGGAGUCAGAAUGUUACAUGAAAGAAAUCAAACACACAAGCGUAAAUAGUACAUGGAUUCUCUAACAUGAGAAAUCCAAAGUGUAAAUAAAUCAGAGAGCAAAAUCUAAGGUAGACCAUAGGAAUCAAGCAGUGAGAUCUUUAGCAAAUGGUCCAGUUUUUCCUGCAUUGCUCAGGAAUCUGAACGAUCAAGCAUGCUGUGCAACCCCAGACCCCACCAUGGCCCCAGCCAAAUUCCUGAAAUCCCCGUGCAGUUCCUAACCUGGUCCUCCCCUGACACACACCCAAGCAUACCACCUGGUGCUUCUACCUUGGUCCAGGACUUCUGCUUGUGGGCUUCUAGUGGGCUUCAGGUUUUACAAACAGCUGUCCAGUUUUUAUCAUUGCUGUUUGGGGACAAAAUUAUCAAGCUCCUUAUCCCCAUUUUAUGAAGAUUUUGUAAACGAUACAACCUGGGUCCAUCAUCUUGGGUAAAUAAACCCACUCCUCUUUCUGAAUUUGACAGCCUUCCAGUGGGAAGCGAGUAGCACAUCAC